Molecule: ribosomal RNA, 1608 nt
Filed under: Oceanites oceanicus (Wilson's storm-petrel)
Lineage: Eukaryota; Metazoa; Chordata; Aves; Procellariiformes
Description: 16S ribosomal RNA
Rfam family: Bacterial large subunit ribosomal RNA (bases 86-1523)
Source: RNAcentral
AGCCAGACUCUAGCCCAACCACACUGGACAAACCAAAAAGCCAAAAACUCACUGCACAACUAGACUAAAACAUUCUCCAAACUUAGUAUAGGUGAUAGAAAAGACACCCACCUGGCGCGAUAGAAACCCGUACCGUAAGGGAAAGAUGAAAUAACAAUGAAAAGCCUAAGCAACAAACAGCAAAGAUAAACCCUUGUACCUCUUGCAUCAUGAUUUAGCAAGAACAACCAAGCAAAAUGAGUUUAAGUUUGCCCCCCCGAAACCCAAGCGAGCUACUUACAAGCAGCUACCUAUUGAGCGAACCCGUCUCUGUUGCAAAAGAGUGGGAUGACUUGUUAGUAGUGGUGAAAAGCCAAUCGAGCUGGGCGAUAGCUGGUUGCCUGUGAAAUGAACCCAAGUUCUCUCUUGAUUUUCCCCCCAUGGACACCCCACCUAACCCCCACGUAGUAAAUCAAGAGCAAUUUAAAGGGGGUACAGCCCCUUUAAAAAAGGACACAACCUUCCCUAGCGGAUAAGCCACCCAACCAUCACUCCAAACCUGUGGGCCCUCAAGCAGCCACCAACAAAGAAUGCGUCAAAGCUCUACACCAAAAAAUUCAAAAUACAAUCCGAAUCCCUUGCCACCAACAGGCCAACCUAUGAAAAUAGGAGAAUCUAUGCUAAAAUGAGUAACUUGGGGCCUCCCCUCUCAAGCACAAACUUACAUCCAACCAUUAUUAACACAGAACAGCUAAUACAACAACCCCAACAAGACCAGAUAUUAGACCCACCUUGUUAAUCCAACUCAGGAGUGCCCAUUAGAAGGAUUAAAAUCUGUAAAAGGAACUAGGCAAACCCAAGGCCCGACUGUUUACCAAAAACAUAGCCUUCAGCCAACCAAGUAUUGAAGGUGAUGCCUGCCCAGUGACACCACGUUUAACGGCCGCGGUAUCCUAACCGUGCAAAGGUAGCGCAAUCAAUUGUCCCAUAAAUCGAGACUUGUAUGAAUGGCUAAACGAGGUCUUAACUGUCUCCUACAGACAAUCAGUGAAAUUGAUCUCCCUGUGCAAAAGCAGGAAUAAGUACAUAAGACGAGAAGACCCUGUGGAACUUAAAAAUCAGCGGCCACCGCACACAAACCCAAACCUACCAGGCCCACUAGCUCCCACAAACACUGGCCUACAUUUUUCGGUUGGGGCGACCUUGGAGAAAAGCGAACCCUCCAAAAAUAAGACCACACCUCUUAACCGAGAGCAACUCCUCAACGUGCUAACAGCAACCAGAUCCAAUAUAAUUGACCAAUGGACCAAGCUACCCCAGGGAUAACAGCGCAAUCUCCUUCAAGAGCCCGUAUCGACAAGGAGGUUUACGACCUCGAUGUUGGAUCAGGACAUCCUAGUGGUGCAACCGCUACUAAGGGUUCGUUUGUUCAACGAUUAACAGUCCUACGUGAUCUGAGUUCAGACCGGAGCAAUCCAGGUCGGUUUCUAUCUAUGACAGACUCUUCCCAGUACGAAAGGACCGGAAAAGUGAGGCCAAUACCACAAGCACGCCUCCCUCCUAAGCAAUGAGCCCAACUAAACUACCAAAGGAGCAUUCACACCUACCACCCAUCCUAGAAAAGGACCG